RNAcentral lists this ribosomal RNA (305 nucleotides) under uncultured bacterium. RNAcentral describes it as "bacterial SSU rRNA". It matches the Rfam family "Bacterial small subunit ribosomal RNA", at positions 335 to 650 of the family's 1533-position model. The record is from RNAcentral.
UGCCUACGGGGGGCAGCAGUAGGGAAUUUUCGGCAAUGGGGGGAACCCUGACCGAGCAACGCCGCGUGAACGAAGAAGUUAUUCGUAAUGUAAAGUUCUUUUAUCAGGGAAGAAAGAGGAAUUUGACGGUACCUGAGGAAUAAGCUCCGGCUAACUACGUGCCAGCAGCCGCGGUAAUACGUAGGGGGCAAGCGUUGUUCGGAAUGACUGGGCGUAAAGGGUGUGUAGGCGGUGUAGCAAGUUAGAAGUGAAAUACCUAGAGCUUAACUCAGGUGCUGCUUCUAAAACUGCUAUACUUGAGUGCA